AGUGUAAAGUCCAGCAGGUGGAAGGACUAGGCCUGGGACUCCUGGGUCCCCGGCAGUGUCUGGAGGCAUGGCUGGGGCUGGCAGGGGCCUCGGGGUCUGGGGGAACCUGGUGCUGCUGGGCCUGUGCAGCUGGACAGGGGCCAGGGCGCCCGGUGAGUGACCCCUGCCUGAACUCACUGCCCACUCGAAGAGACCCUCCUUCCCAAUUCUCAGCCCCCAACCCAGGGAGGAACCUGACAGUGGAGACUCAGACCACCAGCUCCAUCUCCCUGAGCUGGAAGGCCCCUGAUGGCACAGACUCACAGAACUCCAACUAUUCGGUUCAGUGCACUGGAGAUGGUGGCAGAUCAGAGACUCGAACCACAAGAUACACCGUCAUUGUGUAUGGACUUGGACCCGGGUCAUUGUAUACGUGUUCUGUGUCGGUGGAGAAAGACGGAGUAAAUAGCUCUGUGGGGACUGUCACUGGUGCCACAGCUCCCAACCCAGUGAGGAACCUGAGAGUGGAGGCUCAGACCAACAGCUCCAUCACCCUGACCUGGGAGGCCGAUGGCCCAGACCCACA
RNAcentral lists this small RNA (565 nucleotides) under Pan troglodytes (chimpanzee). Its description in RNAcentral is "processed transcript". The record is from RNAcentral. Lineage: Eukaryota; Metazoa; Chordata; Mammalia; Primates; Hominidae.